Molecule: ribosomal RNA, 429 nt
Filed under: Fusobacteriota bacterium
Lineage: Bacteria; Fusobacteriati; Fusobacteriota
Description: Fusobacteria bacterium partial 16S ribosomal RNA
Rfam family: Bacterial small subunit ribosomal RNA
Source: RNAcentral
UGGGGAAUCUUCCGCAAUGGACGAAAGUCUGACGGAGCAACGCCGCGUGAGUGAAGACGGCCUUCGGGUUGUAAAGCUCUGUGAUCCGGGACGAAAGAGCCUGAGGUAAAUAGCCUAAGGAAGUGACGGUACCGGAAAAGCAAGCCACGGCUAACUACGUGCCAGCAGCCGCGGUAAUACGUAGGUGGCAAGCGUUGUCCGGAAUUAUUGGGCGUAAAGCGCGCGCAGGCGGCUUCCUAAGUCCAUCUUAAAAGUACGGGGCUUAACCCCGUGAUGGGAUGGAAACUGGGAAGCUGGAGUAUCGGAGAGGAAAGUGGAAUUCCUAGUGUAGCGGUGAAAUGCGUAGAGAUUAGGAAGAACACCGGUGGCGAAGGCGACUUUCUGGACGAAAACUGACGCUGAGGCGCGAAAGCGUGGGGAGCAAACAGG